CCUGCCCAAAGGGAAAGUCCAGGGAUGGUGUUGAAAUUCCGUUCUGAGCUAGAGGGCUGUUUUAACAGAGAAAGGAAUCUAUAAUUGGCAAGAAAGACCAAGCUUAAUGUCAAAGCCGUUUGAUAAGUCUGAGAUCACAGAAUGUCUAGGCCAAGACUUAGUCAGAAUGAAACAUGUUUCUGGAGAACAGGAAGCAAGGCCACAUGCUGAGCAGGAGGAGCCAGCACAGGGUGGAGUAGUGAAGGGCCACUCUGCCGCAGCCGCGUCUCAAUGGUCUAGCUCAACAUGCUUGCUUUUCCUUCAUGGAAACUGAAAUCUCACCUGGCAAUAGAUUUCAAUGUCUGGACACACACGUGACACUUUGAGGAAAGCCACUGAAAACAGCUGCGGCCAAGAAAGUCUUCAGAUCUCAAGGCCACAGCUAAGAUAUAAAGCCAAGGGGAGGAGCCAGCUGCAGGUUCUGUAUUAGAUGGAUCUCCCAGGGGAGGGGCAAAAUAUCUCUCUUACUGAACUCCACAGAGUGUAUUUGCUCUCUAGGUAAAGGUGGGAGGGAAGGGGCCCUAGGAUUGUUUGAGAUGCAAUCUUGAGAGGUUGUGAGAUUACACUCAUUAAAAAAAAUAACUGGCCAGGUGCAGUGGCGCAUGCCUGUAAUCCCAGUACUUCGGGAUACUGAGUUGGAUGGGUUGCGUGAGCCUAGGAGAGAUCAAGGCUGCAAUGAGCCAUGCUCACAUCACUGCACUCCAGCCUGGGUGACAGAGUGAGACCCUGUCUCAAUUAAAAUAAUGAUAAUGAUAAUAAUAACAACCUCAGGUGGAACUUGGAAAUGGUACCAUGAAAGCAAGUAUCUUUGAGUUUCUAAGGUAAACACAAAAUCUGGCCCUGGAACUCCUAGCAAGCCAUGAGAUUGGUAACAUUGAUCCAGGCUCAGACUGAUGUUUGUUAGUAAAA
Long non-coding RNA from Homo sapiens (human), 948 nucleotides. RefSeq lists it as uncharacterized. The transcript has 3 exons. NCBI's taxonomy places the organism in Eukaryota, Metazoa, Chordata, Mammalia, Primates, Hominidae. The record is from RefSeq and is a predicted model, not a curated record.